This is a long non-coding RNA of Alligator mississippiensis (American alligator), 472 nucleotides long. RefSeq lists it as uncharacterized. The transcript is spliced from 4 exons. Lineage: Eukaryota; Metazoa; Chordata; Crocodylia; Alligatoridae. The record is from RefSeq and is a predicted model, not a curated record.
GAGAUGUGAACAACUCCUGAAGAGCAGGGCUGCAGCCAGGCUGCUGGCAAACACCUAAGCCAGGUUGUGCACAUCUCUUUCAAACAAACUGGAUCUUCAUUUACAGCUGUGUAAAUCCCAAGAGGAAUGUAAUGGAUGUGGGACAGAGGACUGACAGUCACCCAUCUUUUGAGUGGGUGUCCCAUUGAGUGUUACAUGCAUGUGCAGAAGUGUAACCAAGAGAGGAUUGAUCCACCACAUCCAUGGAUAUUAUAAGGAUAGGGAGAGAGAGACAGAAGAACACAACACGUGAUAGUUCCAGAGUUAUCUCUACAACCUCCUGCAAGUCCAAAAACUCCCUUGAAACAAGGACCGGCAAAGCAACCUGAGAUAAGACCAAGAAUGGAUAUAAAAUUGCCACUUCUACCAACCAACGUGGCUAAAGCUCAUUCCUGAUCUGAUGGAAACACGAAAAGUAAGAUAUAUAGGAUCA